AAAACGGUCACUCAUACCAUGGAGAUAGGAAAGUGAAGCACUGCUUUGAAGCUUGGGUCAUCAGAUGUUCUUUGUUUACAUUCAGAAGCUCGCCUGACACGGUUCUGUUAAUGUUUGUGGUGUAUAGUCAUGGAAAGAUACAGUACAAAACAGCGAGUGUUGAUUAUGAAAACUCACUAUAAAAAUGGUGAAAGUUUGGCAGAAAAAGUUCCGAAAACUCCGUGCGAUUAUGGGACACAACAAUGCACCAAAUGAAACCACUGUUCGUAGGUUGAUCAAGAAAUUUGGAAAAAAAAAAAAAAAAAAAA
Stegodyphus dumicola is the source of this 308-nucleotide long non-coding RNA. Lineage: Eukaryota; Metazoa; Arthropoda; Arachnida; Araneae; Eresidae. The record is from RefSeq and is a predicted model, not a curated record.